Molecule: ribosomal RNA, 479 nt
Filed under: uncultured bacterium
Lineage: Bacteria
Description: partial 16S ribosomal RNA
Rfam family: Bacterial small subunit ribosomal RNA
Source: RNAcentral
GAUGAACGCUAGCGGGAGGCCUAACACGUGCAAGCCGAGCGGUAGAGUCUCUUCGGAGACUUGAGAGCGGCGCACGGGUGCGGAACACGUGUGCAACCUGCCUUUAUCUGGGGGAUAGCCUUUCGAAAGGAAGAUUAAUACCCCAUAAUAUACUGGAUGGCAUCAUCUGGUAUUGAAAACUCCGGUGGAUAGAGAUGGGCACGCGCAAGAUUAGAUAGUUGGUGAGGUAACGGCUCACCAAGUCAGCGAUCUUUAGGGGGCCUGAGAGGGUGAUCCCCCACACUGGUACUGGGACACGGACCAGACUCCUACGGGAGGCAGCAGUGAGGAAUAUUGGACAAUGGGUGAGAGCCUGAUCCAGCCAUCCCGCGUGAAGGACGACGGCCCUAUGGGUUGUAAACUUCUUUUGUAUAGGGAUAAACCUAGAUACGUGUAUCUAGCUGAAGGUACUAUACGAAUAAGCACCGGCUAACUCCGUG